GACCAAGGAGUCUAACAUGUGCGCGAGUCAUUGGGACUGCGAAGCCUAAAGGCGCAAUGAAAGUGAAGGUCGCGCCAACCAAGGUCGACCGAGGGAGGAUGGGUCGCGUUUGCGCGCGGCUCCGCACUCCCGGGGCGUCUCGUUCUCAUUGCGAGAAGAGGCGCACCCAGAGCGUACACGUUGGGACCCGAAAGAUGGUGAACUAUGCCUGGUCAGGACGAAGUCAGGGGAAACCCUGAUGGAGGUCCGUAGCGAUUCUGACGUGCAAAUCGAUCGUCGGAACUGGGUAUAGGGGCGAAAGACUAAUCGAACCAUC
RNAcentral lists this ribosomal RNA (316 nucleotides) under Polybia occidentalis nigratella. RNAcentral's name for it is "eukaryotic LSU rRNA". It matches the Rfam family "Eukaryotic large subunit ribosomal RNA", at positions 664 to 944 of the family's 3401-position model. RNAcentral also lists the same sequence under 1 other name. Lineage: Eukaryota; Metazoa; Arthropoda; Insecta; Hymenoptera; Vespidae. The record is from RNAcentral.